Molecule: long non-coding RNA, 113 nt
Organism: Coregonus clupeaformis (lake whitefish)
Lineage: Eukaryota; Metazoa; Chordata; Actinopteri; Salmoniformes; Salmonidae
Exons: 3
Source: RefSeq, a predicted model, not a curated record
AGAAAAACGCAUGUCAAAAAUAUUAUACCAAUGUAUCUUCCUCAUUGUCUGACCCAUCCCGAUGAGGACAAGGAGCCCAGUCGGGUACUGGGUACAAAUCCGGAAGGUUUCCC